UACAGAGGGGGCAAGCGUUGUUCGGAAUUACUGGGCGUAAAGGGCUCGUAGGCGGCCAACUAAGUCAGACGUGAAAUCCCUGGGCUCAACUUGGGAACUGCAUCCGAUACUGGAUGGCUUGAAUUCGGGAGAGGGAUGCAGAAUUCCAGGUGUAGCGGUGAAAUGCGUAGAUAUCUGGAGGAAUACCGGUGGCGAAGGCGGCAUCCUGGACCGACAUUGACGCUGAGGAGCGAAAGCUAGGGGAGCAAACGGG
This 253-nucleotide ribosomal RNA is filed under the name uncultured bacterium. RNAcentral's name for it is "partial 16S ribosomal RNA". It matches the Rfam family "Bacterial small subunit ribosomal RNA", at positions 524 to 776 of the family's 1533-position model. The record is from RNAcentral.